Molecule: non-coding RNA, 30 nt
Filed under: Mus musculus (house mouse)
Lineage: Eukaryota; Metazoa; Chordata; Mammalia; Rodentia; Muridae
Source: RNAcentral
UGCUAUGAAGCUCGGUCUGAGUAUACAGAG